This 484-nucleotide ribosomal RNA is filed under the name uncultured bacterium. Its description in RNAcentral is "partial 16S ribosomal RNA". It matches the Rfam family "Bacterial small subunit ribosomal RNA", at positions 30 to 507 of the family's 1533-position model. The record is from RNAcentral.
AUUGAACGCUGGCGACAGGCCUAACACAUGCAAGUCGAGCGGAUGAAGGGAGCUUGCUCCUGGAUUCAGCGGCGGACGGGUGAGUAAUGCCUAGGAAUCUGCCUGGUAGUGGGGGAUUACGUCCGGAAACGGGCGCUAAUACCGCAUACGUCCUGAGGGAGAAAGUGGGGGAUCUUCGGACCUCACGCUAUCAGAUGAGCCUAGGUCGGAUUAGCUAGUUGGUGGGGUAAAGGCCUACCAAGGCGACGAUCCGUAACUGGUCUGAGAGGAUGAUCAGUCACACUGGAACUGAGACACGGUCCAGACUCCUACGGGAGGCAGCAGUGGGGAAUAUUGGACAAUGGGCGAAAGCCUGAUCCAGCCAUGCCGCGUGUGUGAAGAAGGUCUUCGGAUUGUAAAGCACUUUAAGUUGGGAGGAAGGGCAGUAAGUUAAUACCUUGCUGUUUUGACGUUACCAACAGAAUAAGCACCGGCUAACUUCGUG